RNAcentral lists this ribosomal RNA (253 nucleotides) under uncultured bacterium. Its description in RNAcentral is "partial 16S ribosomal RNA". It matches the Rfam family "Bacterial small subunit ribosomal RNA", at positions 524 to 776 of the family's 1533-position model. The record is from RNAcentral.
UACGAAGGGGGCUAGCGUUGCUCGGAAUCACUGGGCGUAAAGCGCGCGUAGGCGGAUUCUUAAGUCAGGGGUGAAAUCCUGGAGCUCAACUCCAGAACUGCCUUUGAUACUGAGGAUCUUGAGUUCGGGAGAGGUGAGUGGAACUGCGAGUGUAGAGGUGAAAUUCGUAGAUAUUCGCAAGAACACCAGUGGCGAAGGCGGCUCACUGGCCCGAUACUGACGCUGAGGCACGAAAGCGUGGGGAGCAAACAGG